Molecule: ribosomal RNA, 450 nt
Filed under: uncultured bacterium
Lineage: Bacteria
Description: partial 16S ribosomal RNA
Rfam family: Bacterial small subunit ribosomal RNA
Source: RNAcentral
GUGGGGAAUAUUGGACAAUGGGCGAAAGCCUGAUCCAGCCAUGCCGCGUGUGUGAAGAAGGUCUUCGGAUUGUAAAGCACUUUAAGUUGGGAGGAAGGGCAGUAAGUUAAUACCUUGCUGUUUUGACGUUACCGACAGAAUAAGCACCGGCUAACUUCGUGCCAGCAGCCGCGGUAAUACGAAGGGUGCAAGCGUUAAUCGGAAUUACUGGGCGUAAAGCGCGCGUAGGUGGUUUUGUAAGUUGGAGGUGAAAUCCCCGGGCUCAACCUGGGAACUGCCUCCAAAACUGCAUGACUAGAGUACGGUAGAGGGUAGUGGAAUUUCCUGUGUAGCAGUGAAAUGCGUAGAUAUAGGAAGGAACACCAGUGGCGAAGGCGACCACCUGGACUGAUACUGACACUGAGGUGCGAAAGCGUGGGGAGCAAACAGGAUUAGAAACCCGAGUAGUCC